This 219-nucleotide long non-coding RNA is filed under the name Elaeis guineensis (African oil palm). Its description in RNAcentral is "long non-coding RNA (EGUI_LNC072272)". The record is from RNAcentral. Lineage: Eukaryota; Viridiplantae; Streptophyta; Magnoliopsida; Arecales; Arecaceae.
CCCGAUGUAGGUCGUCGCUGCCGCCACCCCUUGAAUUCUAUCUCCCCCUUUUCCCCCUAGGGUUGGUGUUUCGGCAAUGGUGCGGAGCGAGGCGGGGGCCGAGAGCCGAUGGAUUCAUCACACAUGCCGGGAGAUACUGCUGAGAGAGGUGGAGCCGGAAGGAGAAGUCGAAAGCUUGGAGGGAUCUCUGAUGUAUUCUUUUCGAGUCUUGUAGCAAUG